UACAAGCUCAAAAAUCUAAGCUUUUGGGCUUAUUAAGAUAUAUGUUAGAGAAAUUAAAAUUAAUUUUAUUAAUAUAAUAAUAUAUAAAUUAAUAACUAAUUAAUCUACUAUCGCUUUUAAAUCUUUAAGUUUAUUUAUUUAAGUUAACUAUUAGCUUAUAUUAAUAAUGUCUAAAUGAGUGUAGAAAAAUAAAACAAAAAAAGGAACUCGGCAAAAAUUUUCUUCAACUGUUUAUCAAAAACAUAGCUAGUAGGUGGUAUUUAUUAUUAGUUAGCUCUGCCCGGUGAUGUAAAAUUUAACGGCCGCAGUACACUGACUGUGCAAAGGUAGCAUAAUCAAUUGGCUAUUAAUUGUAGUCGAGUAUGAAGGAGUCCAUGGGGAAAAGCUGUCUCUUUUUUUAUUUCUAGAACUUACUAAGCAAGUGCAAAAACUUGCGUUUUAUUAUAAUAGACGAGAAGACCCUAUAAAUUUUUACUAAUAUUAGAAGAUUUCUUGAUCGUUUUUGUUGGGGCAACAAUGUAACACAAUAAAGUAAUUUACAAUGAAAGUAUGAUUUAAUAAAACGAGUUUUACUAAGAACAACUAAAUUACUAUAGGGAUAACAGCAUAAUUUUAAUAUUAAGAUUGUGACCUCGAUGUUGGAUUAGGAGCUUAACAAAUUAACAGUUUGAUUAAGGGGUUCUGUUCGAACUAUUACACCUACAUGAUCUGAGUUCAGACCGG
This 723-nucleotide ribosomal RNA is filed under the name Neostyriaca brembina klemmi. RNAcentral describes it as "Clausilia brembina klemmi partial 16S ribosomal RNA". The stretch from base 184 to 435 matches the Rfam family "Archaeal large subunit ribosomal RNA", at positions 1787 to 2143 of the family's 2987-position model. The record is from RNAcentral. Lineage: Eukaryota; Metazoa; Mollusca; Gastropoda; Stylommatophora; Clausiliidae.